UUAAAGGCUGUGACAGAGAAGAGUAAACUGACAGGCCCCGCCAGAGAGAUGCACCGGAUCGAAAGACCGCUGAAACGUGCAUUCGGAAGAAAUCAGUUGAAGUUCGCUCUUGAGCCGAGCGGGUGAACAUUUCAGUAAUCCGUUCCGUUUUGCCAGCGUUAUAUGGCCGCCAGGUGUUCUUUUGAACUCAGCCUUCUGGCACAAAGCGGGCAGUUUUGGCUGUCAACAAGGGUGGUACCACGGACCCCAUCCCGUCCCUUGG
This 262-nucleotide non-coding RNA is filed under the name Leptolinea tardivitalis. RNAcentral describes it as "T-box sequence". It matches the Rfam family "T-box leader". From Rfam's summary of the family: Uncharged tRNA acts as the effector for transcription antitermination of genes in the T-box leader family. T-boxes are found upstream of many aminoacyl-tRNA synthetase genes and some amino acid biosynthetic genes usually in Gram-positive bacteria. The record is from RNAcentral. Lineage: Bacteria; Bacillati; Chloroflexota; Anaerolineae; Anaerolineales; Anaerolineaceae.